GAUCAACGCUGGCGGCGUGCCUAACACAUGCAAGUCGAACGAGAAAGGGGACUUCGGUCCCUGAGUACAGUGGCGCACGGGUGAGUAACACGUGACUUAUCUACCCUCGAGUGGGGAAUAACUUCGGGAAACCGAGGCUAAUACCGCAUAAUACCCACGGGUCAAAGGAGCAAUUCGCUUGAGGAGGAGGUCGCGGCCCGAUUAGUUAGUUGGCGGGGUAAUGGCCCCCACCAAGACGGUGAUCGGUAUCCGGCCUGAGAGGGCGCACGGACACACUGGAACUGAAACACGGUCCAGACUCCUACGGGAGGCAGCAGUGGGGAAUUUUGCGCAAUGGGGGAAACCCUGACGCAGCAACGCCGCGUGGAGGAUGAAGUCUCUUGGGACGUAAACUCCUUUCGAUCGGGACGAUUAUGACGGUACCGGAAGAAGAAGCCCCGGCUAACUUCGUG
Molecule: ribosomal RNA, 452 nt
Filed under: uncultured bacterium
Lineage: Bacteria
Description: bacterial SSU rRNA
Rfam family: Bacterial small subunit ribosomal RNA
Source: RNAcentral